Molecule: long non-coding RNA, 303 nt
Organism: Coregonus clupeaformis (lake whitefish)
Lineage: Eukaryota; Metazoa; Chordata; Actinopteri; Salmoniformes; Salmonidae
Exons: 3
Source: RefSeq, a predicted model, not a curated record
CCAGCGGGACACAAUACAUGGAGAGAAGACCAACCAAUCACUGUUGAUGAGGGGAGUGGAACCUCAACCCAGCACAUUAUCGUGAUAGAGUCUGCAGAUGUAGAGGCUGCAGGUUCUGGGCUUAAGCAGGAGAUGACUGAAGGAGAGGAGGACCCACGGCACAGCAGAGACAUCCAGACUGGAGAGGCAGUAGAGCCCCCUGUAGCCAUGGAGGACCCCACCACCACCGCCCCAGCUCAGCCCAGGACCCAACGCAGCAUCAUGGAGGAGGAGGAGGGUCCAGAGGUGCUGCUGGUGAAGGAG